RNAcentral lists this ribosomal RNA (497 nucleotides) under uncultured bacterium. RNAcentral describes it as "partial 16S ribosomal RNA". It matches the Rfam family "Bacterial small subunit ribosomal RNA", at positions 28 to 507 of the family's 1533-position model. The record is from RNAcentral.
GAUGAACGCUGGCGGCGUGCCUAAUACAUGCAAGUCGAGCGAACAGACGAGGAGCUUGCUCCUCUGACGUUAGCGGCGGACGGGUGAGUAACACGUGGAUAACCUACCUAUAAGACUGGGAUAACUUCGGGAAACCGGAGCUAAUACCGGAUAAUAUAUUGAACCGCAUGGUUCAAUAGUGAAAGACGGUUUUGCUGUCACUUAUAGAUGGAUCCGCGCCGCAUUAGCUAGUUGGUAAGGUAACGGCUUACCAAGGCAACGAUGCGUAGCCGACCUGAGAGGGUGAUCGGCCACACUGGAACUGAGACACGGUCCAGACUCCUACGGGAGGCAGCAGUAGGGAAUCUUCCGCAAUGGGCGAUAGCCUGACGGAGCAACGCCGCGUGAGUGAUGAAGGUCUUCGGAUCGUAAAACUCUGUUAUUAGGGAAGAACAAAUGUGUAAGUAACUAUGCGCGUCUUGACGGUACCUAAUCAGAAAGCCACGGCUAACUACGUG